This 381-nucleotide transfer-messenger RNA is filed under the name Hyphomicrobiales bacterium. RNAcentral describes it as "Rhizobiales bacterium transfer-messenger RNA". It matches the Rfam family "Alphaproteobacteria transfer-messenger RNA". Rfam says of the family: Bacterial tmRNA, also known as 10Sa RNA or SsrA, is named for its dual tRNA and mRNA-like properties. Its role is to liberate the mRNA from a stalled ribosome. To accomplish this part of the tmRNA is used as a reading frame that ends in a translation stop signal. Lineage: Bacteria; Pseudomonadati; Pseudomonadota; Alphaproteobacteria; Hyphomicrobiales. The record is from RNAcentral.
GGUCUUUUUUCGUCAACCCUCUGCACCUAUAUUAUCAAGUGCCGGGGCAACCCGGCUAUGGCGAUAAAUGGCCGUCGUAAUAAACCCAUCGGACCCGGGGGCAGUACCCGGCGGCUCCACCAGAACCCAAGCUAAGGGCCACAAGCAAAGGGCCAAAGGAUGGGUUGUGGCGGGGCCGAACUAGGAUCGACGAGGGCGUAAAGGACGUGUUUUUGCUCGGCAUGGUUCCGCCGUUAUCGGGCCUUUUUCAUAGUUGCCAACGACAACUAUGCUCCGGUUGCUCAGGCUGCGUAACGCAGUCUGAAAGACCGAUUUAAAGUCCUGACGGGUUAAGCUCCGGCAGGCGGGGUUCGGAGGCACCUGGCAACAGAAGCCUCCACU